ACUCCUACGGGAGGCAGCAGUGGGAAUAUUGGACAAUGGGCGAAAGCCUGAUCCAGCCAUGCCGCGUGUGUGAAGAAGGCCUUUUGGUUGUAAAGCACUUUAAGCGAGGAGGAGGCUACGUAGAUUAAUACUCUUGGUANAUGUGGACGUUACUCGCAGAAUAAGCACCGGCUAACUCUGUGCCAGCAGCCGCGGUAAUACAGAGGGUGCGAGCGUUAAUCGGAUUUACUGGGCGUAAAGCGUGCGUAGGCGGCUUUUUAAGUCGGAUGUGAAAUCCCUGAGCUUAACUUAGGAAUUGCAUUCGUAC
Molecule: ribosomal RNA, 307 nt
Filed under: uncultured bacterium
Lineage: Bacteria
Description: bacterial SSU rRNA
Rfam family: Bacterial small subunit ribosomal RNA
Source: RNAcentral